Acanthosepion pharaonis is the source of this 107-nucleotide non-coding RNA. NCBI's taxonomy places the organism in Eukaryota, Metazoa, Mollusca, Cephalopoda, Sepiida, Sepiidae. The record is from the annotation of a GenBank genome assembly.
UAUGACCAUAUCGUGUUGAAACACUCGUUCCCGUAUGAUCGUUUAAGCAAUGGCGAGCCUGGUCAGUACCGAGAUGGGUGACCGCUUGGGAAUACCAGGUGCUGUAA